RNAcentral lists this ribosomal RNA (233 nucleotides) under uncultured bacterium. Its description in RNAcentral is "partial 16S ribosomal RNA". It matches the Rfam family "Bacterial small subunit ribosomal RNA", at positions 118 to 347 of the family's 1533-position model. The record is from RNAcentral.
UGGGCAACCUGCCCCUCUCUCUGGGAUAACCCCCGGGAAACCAGAGCUAAUACCGGAUACUCCGGCUGGAUCGCAUGGUCCGGCCGGGAAAGGUCCGCCGGAGAGGGAUGGGCCCGCGGCCUAUCAGCUUGUUGGUGGGGUCAUGGCUCACCAAGGCGAUGACGGGUAGCUGGUCUGAGAGGACGACCAGCCACACUGGAACUGAGAUACGGCCCAGACUCCGUACGGGAGCA